UAAAUGACUCUCGGCAACGGAUAUCUCGGCUCUCGCAACGAUGAAGAACGUAGCGAAAUGCGAUACUUGGUGUGAAUUGCAGAAUCCCGUGAACCAUCGAGUCUUUGAACGCAAGUUGCGCCCGAAGCCUCCUGGUUGAGGGCACGCCUGCCUGGGCAUCACACAU
This 166-nucleotide ribosomal RNA is filed under the name Hyobanche glabrata. RNAcentral describes it as "5.8S ribosomal RNA". It matches the Rfam family "5.8S ribosomal RNA". From Rfam's summary of the family: 5.8S ribosomal RNA (5.8S rRNA) is a component of the large subunit of the eukaryotic ribosome. It is transcribed by RNA polymerase I as part of the 45S precursor that also contains 18S and 28S rRNA. Lineage: Eukaryota; Viridiplantae; Streptophyta; Magnoliopsida; Lamiales; Orobanchaceae. The record is from RNAcentral.